ACCGGAUUGGCAGGCAGCGGCCGUCGAGGGAGGCUCUGGAAGAGACUUGAGCUUUCCACUGAGGGCCCGGAGGCGUGUGAACCCUGGAGGCUGGCUGCUCACCUCACCCCAGAGCUCUGUCCCAAGCCCCAGGGCUCCUGUGCUAGGCCAGUGUUUGCUUCUAAAUGAAACGGGGGCAGCUUUUGGCCCCACUCUGCCAGCCAGGCCCGGUGAGAUGAUCUGAACCGGUUUCACUGAGCUGCUCCUGACAGGACAGUGAGGCAGGCCAGAUUCUGCUCUCACUUGUGAGGUUUUCCUCUCUCCUAAGCUAAGGGGUUCCCUGGUGGCUCAGUGGUAAAGAAUCCACCUGCAGUGAAGGAGGUCCAGGUUCAAUCCUUGGGUCAGGAAGAUCCCCUGGAGAAGGGAAUUCCAACCCACUCCAGUAUUCUUGCCUGGAGAAUUGCAUGGACAGAGGAGCCUGGCGAGCUACAGUCCGUGGGGUCGCAGAGUCGGACAUGACUUAGCAACUAAACAACAGUGACAUCAUCCUAAACGAAGCUCACAGCCUCUCUCCCACCUCCAUUAAAUAGACUGUCAGGGCUCCCCAGCCUCAGGCUUUGUGAUGUCCAGCCUCUCUCCCACCUCCGUUAAAUAGACUGUCAGGGCUCCCCAGCCUCAGGCUUUGUGAUGUCCAGGUUCUCUCCCACCUCCAUUAAAUAGACUGUCGGAGCUCCCCAGCCUCAGACUUUGUGAUGUCCAGGUUCCCUCCCACCUCCAUUAAAUAGACUCUCAGGCCUCCCCAGCCUCAGGCUUUGUGAUGUCCAGGUUCCCUGGGACAGGGUGUGGGCUGUCUAGGCAACAUUGUGCUACAGCUUUUUCAUGUCCAGCUCACCACUGCUUCCAACACAAGGCAGGUGACGGGGCAGCUUGCCCCCUCUCCCAGCUUUGCAGGCAUCUUUCCUUUUCAAGAAAUUGUUGAGUCACCCACCUCUGUGUCUGGCAUCUCAAAUUUAACAGCCUUUGUAGGGUAGAGUUUUUUCCUUUCUUCUGCUCCCAACUGGUUGGGCCCAUGGUUACACUUCUUUGCAGCCUCCCUGAAGGGCAGAGCUGUCAGGCGGAGACGAGGAAAGGGAAGGAUGUCUGGGUGCCACUCGAGAGGUACUAGGCAGCUAUGUCUGAUAAGAGGUUUUCCCAGCAAAGCACCUGCUCACCCACAGCAUCUUGGGAGCUGCCUGUGGAGACAGCUGCCAACGGAGCUGGGACUGGAAUCUGCGUGUCUUGGACCCAAGCCUCCAGCCACUCCAUCCACCCUUCAGAGCCUUCCCUUCACAGAGUAUCAAUGUGAGCUCUUAUUUAUAGCUGCCAACUUCUAUCAUUAACUACUAUGCCCAAAGAAUGUCUGGUUUUCUGGUAAUCACAGCUGAAGAACAACCAACUCGUUACUGACCAAGAUGAGGGAAUAAUUCAGUCAUUCGGUUUUCUAAUUGUUCAUUCACUCAUUAAAAUGUACUCUUUGCUAGAACCUGUGCUGCGUCUGAGACAGAGUGGAAUAAAACACAGUCUUGACCUCCAGGAACUUGGGU
This is a long non-coding RNA of Bos taurus (domestic cattle), 1562 nucleotides long. NCBI's taxonomy places the organism in Eukaryota, Metazoa, Chordata, Mammalia, Artiodactyla, Bovidae. The record is from Ensembl.